Molecule: non-coding RNA, 3575 nt
Organism: Arvicanthis niloticus (Nile rat)
Lineage: Eukaryota; Metazoa; Chordata; Mammalia; Rodentia; Muridae
Source: RefSeq, a predicted model, not a curated record
CUUAAGCGGUACCCUGACAGCUAAACAAAACGAGGCGCCAAAGACCCACGGCUCGACUGGCUGUGGGUAGUCAGACCCAGGACUAGGGCUGCCUGCGUGGCGGCCGAGAGCGGCAGGCCUCGGUGAGUGGGUCUAGUAUGGAAAGAGACGCGCGCUGUCACCUCACUGAAUCCAAUCACGGGCGCCCGGCCUCCUCGCGCGCCUCUCAGCGCAGUUUCCGUCGCGGUCCCCAGGCUGCACUUGCCGCGCUGGUUCCCGCAGAUCCGCGGCCCUCCGCGCACACACCCGCUUCCCAGAGGUUCCACCCCGUCGUUCUCUGGACAGCUCCCCGGAGCGCUCCCUCAGUACUUGGUGCGGACCUCUUUCCUUGAACCCCUCCCUCUUUCUGUUCUGCAGGACUGUUCCGGGCCUUGGGAGCGGCCCGGGAGAACUGGUCUUUGGAAUCUCAGACUGGAAGACCAAUUCUCCAAUUGGUUUAGCCCCUGUCGCAUGCAUGCAUUGGGCAGGAGUGACAGAUAUAGGGAGGUGAGGUUGGGAGAGCUGGAGGUCAGCAAUAACGCUCCCAGGCUAAGGAACGCAGCUUGGGAAGCCAGGGGACAAUGAAACUGGAAGCUAAAUUGCGAAGGAGAGAAUGGAAGACCGGAAAGUUUCAAAAACCUUCUACCUUGGAAAGGUGACAGGGAUACCUUCAACCCCUGCUGCCUGUGUUCUGCUCUCUGGAGCACACAGACGAGCAGACAGCACUGGAGGAAGGGGAGGAGGUCUGUUUCUUGUGCUGGAGAAGGAGGAUAAGAGUGUUCCGAGGCUCUGGACAGUGGAAGUGAUCCGGACACACACUCGGUGAAGGGUCUGUGGAACAUGUAGAACCAAGAAACGUUUGUGACCCACCACCUCCCCCAUGGUUUUCAUCUGCUGAGGAUACCUGCUAUGGAGCAGUUUCUUUACACUUCCGUGGCCUUUGUAGAAAAUGGGGCUUCUGGAGAUUGGUGGGUCAGGAGUCCAGGCAAGUGACUGGGUUUUUGACUUGCUGCUUGAAGGAGCUUCAAGGGAGGAAGCAAAAGUGAUUGCAGGUUUUUGUGCAGGGACCGUGAGGCACAGCCUAUUUGGCAAAGACCACAGAGGGACCUGGAUGGAAUACAUGUGGGUUCCCAGAGCCUAACUCACCACCUCUCCAUCCCUGGGCUCACUCACCUGCCCUGUCAUAAUGGCAUAAUGCCUUGGACUGGGACUUAUGCUAGGAAAUGUGUCCCCGACCUCCUGAGCACUGCAGUCUGAGAGGAGACAGACAUCAGGAACAGAAGCUGAGGACUGAGCAUGGUUAGGACAGAAAGAGCCCCAUGGUAGUCCAGAGGAGAGGGUACCCAUGGAUGCAUGGAUGGGGUUGCCUGAGGUACACUUCCAGAAGUGGGGUACCAGAGGAGCAAGGGAGACUGCAGCCUCAGUUCUGGCUCUUCUACCUGAGCAAGUGAUGGCACAUCUUUGGCAGGUGUCUGGAUUCUGGCUGAAGAGACAGUGCAGAGGUGUCCUGGACAGAUUCUGUACCUUUCUGGCUCUAGGCGCUUUACUGCUAGACACUGGUGUUGGCUUCUGUGUGCUUGUACUGACCUCCAGGCACAAACUGAACCCCCCAGGUAUGACAUAUUCUAAGAUCCCUCUUAGACCCAUCCAGGUCCCAGCAAUUGUCAUCCCAUUCAUGGUGACCUCCUUGCAGUACUUUGCUUUCCCCAUGGCUGGGCCACACUCCCACCUCAGGCUGCUUUUGUUGUCCCUCCCAAGUCUACAGUGGGAUCUGCACUUCUGUCUGGGUAAAGUGACAAAUAGAUUGCCUCCUGUGCAGUGUCUCACUAAGCAUUUGUUCACUCUGGAGAGUGUGUCCUUGAUUUUAAGUGGAAGUCCUUGUAUGGCUGGUCCUCCCUCAUAAUCCUCCCUUGUCCCUUCUCUUCUCCAGGGCUAGCAUUCUCAGGAUGGCACCUCUGUCUCCUGCCAAUAAACACACCCUGUGCUUCCUGCCUGGAUCACUCUCAACAUUGUUCCUGCCACAGGAACACUCACUCAUGCCUACUUACUCCUCCAGAGCCUCCACUAACUCCUUUGGUCUUUUGGUCCCUGGAUCCCCAGCAGGGUCUAGCUUCAAGACUGCAGAAUUUGCCAUAGGGGACUCCUCCUGACAGCCAAGGUAAUGUUCUACAAUGCACCAGGCAGUGGAGUGGCAUCUGUUGGCUGUGCUUUCAGCCUAGGGCUUUGAAACUUGGAAACAGUUUUAUUUCCCUCUUCUCAGCCCUAAUCAGUGCACGUUACUGAAAGGGCUGCUGUUGAUACACAGGUAAGCAGCCUCUGCUCAUGCUGGUCAGAAAGUUCUAGUAAGAUGGUUUUGUUACUGUUUGUUCUUUUCCCUUUGGUGAGACAGGCAAGGUCUCCCUGUGAAGCUCAGGGUGGCCUGGAUCUAGCUUCCCACUCAACAUCUAUGUGCCCGGAUUCCAGGCACGUGCCACCUCACUGACUUACAGUGUCUUCUUGGGCUGCAGGGCUUCUCGGAGCUUCGGAUACACGGACCUCAGUGUGGGCUCCCAACAAUGUUGCAACCAACAUCCCAGGAAAGAAGGUGAGGUUGUGGACUUGAACAUGCACACUGCAGUCCUUGGGCUAAGAACAUGGAUUAAAGGUGUACUCUAACGCCAUUUGGUAGUUUUUACUUUAAUACAGAAGGAGAUUCGUGUUUGUUACUGGUUUCAUAUUAUUUAGAUUCCUGGUCUCAAAUGUAAAGACUUCUCUGACCUACUCUUCAGACGUGGGAUGGAGGAGUAACCCUCUGUUGCCCUCCAAGGCACAAUUUGGGGUGACAUUCUUGAAAUCAGAGCAGAUGUGGGCACCCACAGGAAUUCCUCACAAUAUUAAAUCUACAUCCAGGGCAGAAGUAUGAGGGGUGAUCAGACCUGGGAGCCCAGCCACUCACUCUCAUCACCCACCCCAUGUAGUCCUGCCUCAACUAUAUAUAUGUUGUAGAGAAAAUCUCUUCUGUACUGUAUGGAUACAGCACCUGUCAGUAAAACAGAUUGGCCUAUAAGCUUAGGCAGGAAAUCAAAGGUGGGACAUCCAGUAGGGAGACUGAAUUCUGGGAGAGAGCAAGGUGGGGAGGAGCCCAGGAACAUGAAGAGGUCAGAAGCAUGGGAGCUGAACAGAGGUAACCAGCUAUGUGUUAGAAUUUAGAUUAGAAUAAAUGGGAUAUUAAGAAACAGUGAAAGCUCAUGGCCUAGGUAUGUGUAAAUAUAUUUGAGUCUCAGUGUUGUUAUCCUGGGAGUUUGGGGCCAGGAGGAAAAACAUGGCUUUUAUAGGAUGUUUUCUUAAGAGGUGCUGUGGUUUACAGGAUGUAGAAAGUUAACUGAAGAGGCCAGCAGCCAUCCUGUGUUGCAAGGGUAGCUCAUGAUCCUGUUAGUAUUAUAAUCUGUCCCUGCCCCCAUAGCGGGAGCCAUUUUGUUCCACGCCCACCAGUCACUGGCUCAAGGACAUGCUGGCCACAUUCCCUGUUUUGUUCUGUAGGUUUUGAAUGUUCUGUAUGAGGUUUGCUAAUCUUAAGA